UGGCCUUGAUGGUGUAGUGCAUGGAC
RNAcentral lists this non-coding RNA (26 nucleotides) under Homo sapiens (human). The record is from RNAcentral. Lineage: Eukaryota; Metazoa; Chordata; Mammalia; Primates; Hominidae.